RNAcentral lists this ribosomal RNA (300 nucleotides) under uncultured Helicobacter sp. Its description in RNAcentral is "bacterial SSU rRNA". It matches the Rfam family "Bacterial small subunit ribosomal RNA", at positions 496 to 795 of the family's 1533-position model. The record is from RNAcentral. Lineage: Bacteria; Pseudomonadati; Campylobacterota; Epsilonproteobacteria; Campylobacterales; Helicobacteraceae.
GCGAAACCCGUUCCGGUCGCCGCGGUUAUUCGGUGGAUCCUAGCGUUUUUCGGAAGCAUUGGGUUUAAACGGUACCUAAGCGGCCUUAUAAGUCAUCGGUGAAAUUUUUUGGCUUAACCAAAAAAUUGCCAUUGAUACUGUAGGGCUUGAAUAUUUGUGAAGUAACUAGAAUAUGUAGUGUAGCGGUGAAAUGCUUAGAUAUUACAUGGAAUACCAAUUGCGAAGGCAGGUUACUAACAAAUGAUUGACGCUGAUGGACGAAAGCGUGGGUAGCGAACAGGAUUAGAUACCCGAGUAGUC